UUUCCGUAGGUGAACCUGCGGAAGGAUCAUUGUCGAAACCUGCAAAAGCAGACCGUGAACACGUUUAUCCACUUGGAGAUCACGUUUAGGGGGAAACCCCUCAACACGUUCUCUUCCCGCAUGGUGCACUUUGUGGGCUAACGAACCCCGGCGCGGCAUGCGCCAAGGAAAACUCAUAGAAGCGUCCCCCUCUCGUUGCCCCGUUCGCGGUGUGCGACGGGAGAUGAUUCUCAAUGUCAAAACGACUCUCGGCAACGGAUAUCUCGGCUCUCGCAUCGAUGAAGAACGUAGCGAAAUGCGAUACUUGGUGUGAAUUGCAGAAUCCCGUGAACCAUCGAGUCUUUGAACGCAAGUUGCGCCCAAAGCCAUUAGGCCAAGGGCACGUCUGCCUGGGCGUCACGCAUCGCGUCGCCCCCCCAUCCCUCCCCGGACAAUGGCCUCCCGUGCAUGACCUUGUGUGGUUGGCCUAAAAUAGAUCCCGCGGCGACUCACGUCACGACCAGUGGUGGUUGAACACUCAACUCGCGUGCUGUCGUGGCUGUCCUCGUGUUUGGUAUCACAAAGAAGACCCAAUGGUGCGAGUCACUCGUGCUUUCGACCGCGACCCCAGGUCAGGCGGGAUUACCCGCUGAGUUUAA
This 638-nucleotide ribosomal RNA is filed under the name Lindenbergia muraria. Its description in RNAcentral is "eukaryotic LSU rRNA". The stretch from base 244 to 399 matches the Rfam family "5.8S ribosomal RNA". The record is from RNAcentral. Lineage: Eukaryota; Viridiplantae; Streptophyta; Magnoliopsida; Lamiales; Orobanchaceae.